GCAUUGUGAUGGGUGUGCUGCCCGGCAGGCCCCUUUUACACCAGCGCAUCAGACGUGCUGAUCGUUUUCUUUUCGGUUUGGCACGACUCAUCGCUCUCCCUCCUCUCUGCGCUACCUCACGCUCCCCGCGUGCUCACAAUAGUCCUCGCGCUCGUUACUGUCUCCCGAUCCUUUUAUCGCUUUACCGCCUCGCGCUUCUCUCCUGCGUAAGCGCGCCCAUCGACCUUGCUGGAAGACGAGCAUCCCUUUCUACCCCCUCGCCCACACACACACACACACCAAAAAGAAAGUUGAGGCGAGAGAGGGGACCGACCUGGGCCUCGUGCCGGAGGGCUCACGUAGAUUACGCGGGACGGAGACCAGCGGUGACGCGCAGGCAUAUCGACAAGCAAAACGCCGACAGAGAGACGGAGGCCGACUUGUUUGCAUCGCCGUCUCACAUCGGCGCGAUUUGGGCUCGCACAGACGCGAGGGAGCUACACCUGAUCCUCGUGCCUCCGACACCACCCACCUCAGCGCACUCUCGCUUUCCAAGCACCUCGCUCUCUACCUCUGCUGAUCGCAGUUUUCUCCUUCUUUUACUUGUUGACAUGAGCCGGCACAGCCGCAAGUUGCACGUGCGCCUGCUGCGCGCCGCCGUCGUCGUCGCUGCAGGCACAUUUGCAUAUCGGCGAUGGUGUCUUCGCCCCUCCAGCGCGUUGUCGGCUUCUGCCUACCGGCCGGCGAAUGGAGCCGACCAUUACCGUGACAGUCCCGCACCGCGCUCUUCGCGCUGGGCAGCGCUGCAACGAAGCUCAGCAGCGGACCCAUUUGACCUCCUCGUGAUUGGUGGGGGCCUCACAGGCCUCUACACUGCCGUCGAUGCGGCACAACGCGGGCUGCGAGUGGCUUUGGUCGACGCGGCAGACUUCGGUGGAGGCAGCGCAGCUUCGUGCAUGCCCUCUGUCUCUCCAGGCGCGUUGCCGUACGUGCAGCGAGCCCUGCGACAGCGCGACUGGGACUGGCUGCGGAUGGCGGCAACCGUGCUCGUGGAGGAGACGACGUGGCGCAACGUCGCACCGCGGUGUGUUGUGGCGCCCGACACACUGCUGCGACGCUGGCAGAACUGGCGUUGGCGAGGCACCGUGGGCGGAAGCGGCUGCGAAGCCGCGUCCAAAGCAGGGGCCGCCGAAGAUGGCACCACUGCUGUGUUACAUUCAGAAGAAACUUCAGCGAAAGCGCCGUCGUUACUGCCUUUCGAUCCGACGCCUGCCACAACGACGCUGUUGCCAGCCUUGCACUCGACGGAGAUGGUGGAGUACGUCUGCGCCGCGAUUUUGAGUACGGUGAUGAGCAUUUUUUGCGGCCCGCUGCGCCCGAACCUCGUGCUACCUGGGCCCGUCGUUCAGGCGCGCCUACCAGCGCUCGCACCCAGCCCGGGGCCGUCCCCCUCGCCAGCGCGACUGCGAGGGGGCAUCAUAGCCAACGACUUCGCGCUGCGUGGAAAUACAGUCGCCGUGUCGCUUGCACGCACCGCAGAGGAGCUCGGUGUGACGGUGUUAUCCUAUGCCCCUGUGUUCGCCAUUCAAGAGGUUUCUGCGCCGGCCACGACGGAGAUGGAGAUGAGUUCGCCGUCCAGUUCUACCCGCGCCUCUUCGUGCGCUGGCGUGAUGCUGGUCUCUGUUCGCGAUGCGUUGGCUGCGAAGGCAGUUGCAGCGAGUCUGCCAGCGUCGCCAGACCGAUCACGGCCACGCUUCUUGCAGCGGCUACUGGGACAGAGCAGCGCCUCUUCUCCCUCAUCCACUGCCGACUCGGCUGCAUCGCCGAGAAGCGCAGUAUGGAGCCCGGAUGCCGCAACCACGACGCACGUCUACACACGCGGCGUGGUGAACUGCACAGGGUGCUGGGCAGACACCGUGAAGGCCAUGUUCGACGGAAACGCCAGUGACACCGUGCCGGCUGCGUUUGCCGGAUACCAGGCGUACUCCUACCUGAUUGCUCCCGCCAACGCCGUGCAUGCUGCGCCGCCCCCAUCAACGCCACCCACGGACAGCCACGGCGUAGGACAGGGGGCCGUGGCCUCCUUACCGCCGCUUUCCGAGACGAUGCGGGCAGCGGCACUGCUCUUCAGCUCUCCACGGCUGAGUUUUGCCUCGGUGAUGGUGCUGCCGUGGUGGGACCGGUGCGUGAUGCUGGGGCCGAGUAUCUCUUCGCUGCCACGGCUGCCGGCGACCGUCACGGCGCACACCAACGGUUCGCUGCACUCGGUGGACGGAUACGCCGCACAGCGCCAGCGUACGCUGUCGAUGCUGCGCAGCAGCGGCGUGUCUGUGGACGCAUCGCGCCUGCUCUCGUGCGUGUCGCAGAUUGUGCCGCACGUGAAGGGGCCUAAGGAAGUGCCGUGGACUGGAGCGCUGCUGCAUCGAGGCUACGCCUUGCACUUUUCUUCAGUGCCGCUGCCCAAGAGAGGCGACCAGAGUGACAUCGAAGAACUUGUGUCUUUGGUAAGCAACUGUGCAGACGCCACCGGGGACGCUGUCGCUGUUGCGCGCCGCGACGUCCCGCUCCUCCACGUGUACGGCGGUACCCCGCUGUUGGCACGUCGGAUUGCUGAGGAGGCGGUCGACGCCCUUGUGUACCACGAGCCGCCGCUGUUCUCAGAGAAGACGCGCAAGAAGCUCCACCGGUGCCGCACGCGCUAUCUGCAACUGACUACGCCAGCUUCUCUCUGCACCACCACCGAUAGCGGGCCGAUGAACGCACGAGCGCGUCUGGAGACCCUUGUGAAGGACACCUACGCUGAACGCGUAGUCGAUGUCGUAGCCCGCCGCACACACACCGCGUACACCAGCCCUGCCGAAGCCCUGCAAGCCAUACCCACGCUAGCGAGCGUCAUGGGUGGUCUGCUGCAGUGGGAUGAAGCCAGGAGAUUUUCAGAGGUUGAGGCUGCGCGGCGUCUCGUGCACAGCGUGGCGGUAACCGUUUGAAUUGCGUUGUCGAUGCUGUUCGCGGCGGUGGCGGUGGGGCGGAACGUCCGUCUUGGAAGAGGGCGGCGCUUCUUUGGUACCCCUUGUCUCUGUGUGGCUCCAGCGGUGUUUUGUGCGCUAUGGUCGCAAGCCGCCAGCCGCCAGCCAGCCACCCCACUCCCUCCUUCGCAGUCACGCAGGCAGGCACACACGCACACGGGGAUAGAGAGACUGAAGCACUCUUCCUGUUCUUCUAUCUCUGUGUCUUUAGAGGAUCCGGCCAGGUGGCCUGCCCAUCGCUCUCCGUGCAUGCGGUCGCGUACGCGCGCGUUCUUACGCCUCACGUGUGACCGGACACCUUCUCUCUACUUUGGUCCUUUCGUGUCUCCCUCUGUCUGCGCGCUCCAUGGCAUCGCCGCAAAACGCCACAGGAACGCUGAAAAAAAAGCCCGUAGGGCGGGGGGAGGGGAGGGGCGCCGGGUGUGCACACGCUGGAUCUAUCAUUGCGGCGCCAGAGCGUGCAAGUGUUUUUUUUUUUUCGGUGGCGGUGAUGGUGGUGAUGGGGCACUGGAUAGCCUACAUGCUUCAACGCGCGCGCUCAAUCGUGCGAUCGUGCGGGGCGCGGCGUGAGGGUGCUCAUUUCCCGUUUUGAAAGAAGGCGAUGUUUCGGGGCGGGAUGUUGGUCCUCGCUCUCCCUCGCCCUCUCCCCGGCUGCCCCCCCCCCCACCGAAGCAGCUCACUGCAGCUGGAACGUCUUGCGCCGCGCUUUGAUUUGCGCUCUGUUCUU
This 3732-nucleotide unclassified non-coding RNA is filed under the name Leishmania donovani. RNAcentral's name for it is "gene:LdHU3.20.0590(CDS-product:glycerol-3-phospha te_dehydrogenase-like_protein)". Lineage: Eukaryota; Euglenozoa; Kinetoplastea; Trypanosomatida; Trypanosomatidae. The record is from RNAcentral.